GGCCGGUGCGGGAGCUAUACAUGCAGUCGAACGCUUUGUCUUUAAUUGAUCUGACGAGCUUGCUCUGAUUUGAUUUUAUCUGACAAAGAGUGGCGAACGGGUGAGUAACACGUGGGUAACCUACCUCUUAGCAGGGGAUAACAUUUGGAAACAAGUGCUAAUACCGUAUAAUACCAACAACCGCAUGGUUGUUGGUUGAAAGAUGGUUCUGCUAUCACUAAGAGAUGGACCCGCGGUGCAUUAGCUAGUUGGUAAGGUAACGGCUUACCAAGGCAAUGAUGCAUAGCCGAGUUGAGAGACUGAUCGGCCACAAUGGGACUGAGACACGGCCCAUACUCCUACGGGAGGCAGCAGUAGGGAAUCUUCCACAAUGGGCGCAAGCCUGAUGGAGCAACGCCGCGUGUGUGAUGAAGGGUUUCGGCUCGUAAAACACUGUUAUAAGAGAAGAACGGCACUGAGAGUAACUGUUCAGUGUGUGACGGUAUCUUACCAGAAAGGAACGGCUAAAUACGUGCCAGCAGCCGCGGUAAUACGUAUGUUCCAAGCGUUAUCCGGAUUUAUUGGGCGUAAAGCGAGCGCAGACGGUUAUUUAAGUCUGAAGUGAAAGCCCUCAGCUCAACUGAGGAAUGGCUUUGGAAACUGGAUGACUUGAGUGCAGUAGAGGAAAGUGGAACUCCAUGUGUAGCGGUGAAAUGCGUAGAUAUAUGGAAGAACACCAGUGGCGAAGGCGGCUUUCUGGACUGUAACUGACGUUGAGGCUCGAAAGUGUGGGUAGCAAACAGGAUUAGAUACCCUGGUAGUCCACACCGUAAACGAUGAGUGCUAGAUGUUCGAGGGUUUUCCGCCCUUGAGUGUCGCAGCUAACGCAUUAAGCACUCCGCCUGGGGAGUACGACCGCAAGGUUGAAACUCAAAGGAAUUGACGGGGACCCGCACAAGCGGUGGAGCAUGUGGUUUAAAUUCUAAGCAACGCGAAGAACUUACCAGGUCUUGACAUCCCUUGCUAAAUCCUAGAAAUAGACGUUCCCUUCGGGGACAAGGUGAACAGGUGGUGCAUGAUUGUCGUCAGCUCGUGCCGUGAGAUGUUGAGUUUAGGCCCGGCACGAAGCGCUCCCUUAU
This 1118-nucleotide ribosomal RNA is filed under the name Weissella paramesenteroides. Its description in RNAcentral is "bacterial SSU rRNA". It matches the Rfam family "Bacterial small subunit ribosomal RNA", at positions 34 to 1108 of the family's 1533-position model. The record is from RNAcentral. Lineage: Bacteria; Bacillati; Bacillota; Bacilli; Lactobacillales; Lactobacillaceae.